Molecule: ribosomal RNA, 318 nt
Filed under: Triticum aestivum (bread wheat)
Lineage: Eukaryota; Viridiplantae; Streptophyta; Magnoliopsida; Poales; Poaceae
Description: partial small subunit ribosomal RNA
Source: RNAcentral
AUGCUCCGAGUCGUGUGUCGGUCUAUGAAGGAGCGCGGCACGGUGAGGAGGCCGCGGAGGACCUGUGUGGUGGUGUCAUGGAGGUGUCGUGCUGCGGUUGAGGCCGCAGCGGUGCAGGGCAAUAAGCCGUGGCGGCGAGCCGGGCGCGACUGGUGCGUGUUAUGGGUGCGCACUGAACGCGUCGGGCGCGUCGGGACCGCGGGCGCGCGUACGAGCGAGCGGUUGACGUUGGGAGGAGGCGUAUGUCGCCGUUGUGCUCGAGUCUGUGCUCGAGUUCGGCUACAUCCUUCCAGCGUUUAUCGCUGGCGGCUGCCAUGA